CCUGACGGUAGUCGUAUGCUCGUCUCCGAGACUAAGCCAUGCAAGUCCAAGUACACGUCCUUGAACGACGGAAACUGCGAACGGCUCAUUAAAUCAGUUGCGAUCUACUCGGCGUUCCGCGCCGCCGGAUAACCGUAGUAAUUCGUAGGGCUAAUACGUGCGAAGCGCCCGAAGCCGCGAGGCGACGGCGUUCUCGCCGGAUGUAGGAACCGACCCGGGGACCGCCGGGGCAACCCGGCGCCCCCGAGACGGGGCGAACCACGGUGAAAUGACGGAUCGUCGGCCCCGCGCCGGCGACUCGCCGAAUGAGUUUCUGACCUAUCAACUCGAGACGGCGGGGUAGAGGCCCGCCGCGGUAACGACGGGUAACGGGGAAUCAGGGUUCGAUUCCGGAGAGGGAGCCCGAGAAACGGCUACCACUUCCAAGGAAGGCAGCAGGCGCGCAACUUACCCUAAUCUCGAUUCGAGGAGGU
RNAcentral lists this ribosomal RNA (473 nucleotides) under uncultured eukaryote. RNAcentral's name for it is "bacterial SSU rRNA". It matches the Rfam family "Eukaryotic small subunit ribosomal RNA", at positions 13 to 465 of the family's 1831-position model. The record is from RNAcentral.